UCCCUGGUAGUCCAAUGAGUAGGACUCUGUGCUUUCACAGCUGAGGACCCAGGUUCGAUCCCUGGUCAGGGAA
This 73-nucleotide transfer RNA is filed under the name Bos taurus (domestic cattle). It matches the Rfam family "tRNA". From Rfam's summary of the family: Transfer RNA (tRNA) molecules are approximately 80 nucleotides in length. Their secondary structure includes four short double-helical elements and three loops (D, anti-codon, and T loops). The record is from Rfam by way of RNAcentral. RNAcentral also lists the same sequence under 3 other names. Lineage: Eukaryota; Metazoa; Chordata; Mammalia; Artiodactyla; Bovidae.